AGUCCAUGAUGUGCGCAGAGCCUAACAUAUCCUUGUAUCUCUCCCAUGUUUCAAAAAGAGAUUCGUUGUCUUUUUGCCUAAAUUUGCUGAUUUGCCUUCUUAGCGU
Molecule: small nucleolar RNA, 106 nt
Organism: Lathyrus oleraceus (garden pea)
Lineage: Eukaryota; Viridiplantae; Streptophyta; Magnoliopsida; Fabales; Fabaceae
Source: RefSeq, a predicted model, not a curated record